CGACUGAACGGGGCAAUCGCGCGGUAUGUUGCCGAAAGGUAUUACCGUGAGGAAAGUCCGGGCAUCAAAGAGCAGGAUAACGGAUAACGUCCGCCCGGGGCAACCCGCGGGAAAGUGCAACAGAAAUAAACCGCCGCUUUUGCGGUAAGGAUGGAAAGGCGAGGUAAGAGCUCACCCGUUUCUAUGGCAACAUAGAUCCGCUGUAAACCCUAUCCGAUGCAACACCUUGAUAUUUCGGGACUACGUCCCGACGAGCUGCUCGUGGCGUUUCAUGGUGGCAGAGCCGUAAGGCUUGAACCGCGCGGUAACGCACGGUGAAGAUAGAUGAUUGCCACGCCGCAAGGCGUACAGAACCCGGCUUAUAAGUUCAGUCAACAC
This 378-nucleotide RNase P RNA is filed under the name Clostridia bacterium. RNAcentral's name for it is "RNase P RNA component class A". It matches the Rfam family "Bacterial RNase P class A". Rfam says of the family: Ribonuclease P (RNase P) is a ubiquitous endoribonuclease, found in archaea, bacteria and eukarya as well as chloroplasts and mitochondria. Its best characterised activity is the generation of mature 5'-ends of tRNAs by cleaving the 5'-leader elements of precursor-tRNAs. The record is from RNAcentral. Lineage: Bacteria; Bacillati; Bacillota; Clostridia.